CCUACGGGCGGCUGCAGUGGGGAAUAUUGCACAAUGGGCGCAAGCCUGAUGCAGCCAUGCCGCGUGUGUGAAGAAGGCCUUCGGGUUGUAAAGCACUUUCAGCGGGGAGGAAGGCGUUAAGGUUAAUAACCUUGUCGAUUGACGUUACCCGCAGAAGAAGCACCGGCUAACUCCGUGCCAGCAGCCGCGGUAAUACGGAGGGUGCAAGCGUUAAUCGGAAUUACUGGGCGUAAAGCGCACGCAGGCGGUCUGUCAAGUCGGAUGUGAAAUCCCCGGGCUCAACCUGGGAACUGCAUUCGAAACCGGCAGGCUAGAGUCUUGUAGAGGGGGGUAGAAUUCCAGGUGUAGCGGUGAAAUGCGUAGAGAUCUGGAGGAAUACCGGUGGCGAAGGCGGCCCCCUGGACAAAGACUGACGCUCAGGUGCGAAAGCGUGGGGAGCAAACAGGAUUAGAUACCCCAGUAGUC
RNAcentral lists this ribosomal RNA (465 nucleotides) under uncultured Klebsiella sp. Its description in RNAcentral is "bacterial SSU rRNA". It matches the Rfam family "Bacterial small subunit ribosomal RNA", at positions 338 to 795 of the family's 1533-position model. The record is from RNAcentral. Lineage: Bacteria; Pseudomonadati; Pseudomonadota; Gammaproteobacteria; Enterobacterales; Enterobacteriaceae.